Molecule: non-coding RNA, 77 nt
Organism: Ilex paraguariensis (yerba mate)
Lineage: Eukaryota; Viridiplantae; Streptophyta; Magnoliopsida; Aquifoliales; Aquifoliaceae
Source: the annotation of a GenBank genome assembly
GCUCUCGUAGCUCAGUUGGUUAGAGCACCCGUUUAGUAAGCGGGAGGUCUNAUUUCACAUUAGAGAUAUUGAAGGCU